RNAcentral lists this ribosomal RNA (397 nucleotides) under uncultured bacterium. Its description in RNAcentral is "partial 16S ribosomal RNA". It matches the Rfam family "Bacterial small subunit ribosomal RNA", at positions 523 to 918 of the family's 1533-position model. The record is from RNAcentral.
AUACGUAGGGGGCGAGCGUUGUCCGGAAUGAUUGGGCGUAAAGGGCGCGUAGGCGGCCCGGUAAGUCUGGAGUGAAAGUCCUGUUUUUAAGAUGGGAAUUGCUUUGGAUACUGUCGGGCUUGAGUGCAGGAGAGGUAAGUGGAAUUCCCAGUGUAGCGGUGAAAUGCGUAGAGAUUGGGAGGAACACCAGUGGCGAAGGCGGGUACAUGGACUGCAACUGACGCUGAGGCGCGAAAGUGUGGGGAGCAAACAGGAUUAGAUACCCUGGUAGUCCACACUGUAAACGAUGAAUGCUAGGUGUAAGAGGUAUCGACCCCUUUUGUGCCGGAGUCAACACAAUAAGCAUUCCGCCUGGGGAGUACGGCCGCAAGGUUGAAACUCAAAUGAAUUGACGGGG